CUUUGUCUGAUGUUGAGUGUUCUGUUCUGCCGUUGCCUUUGGAAUACUCUGCCUGUGCUCUGGAUUAUUACUGCCUUUUGGAUUUUCCUAAUCUUGUCUCAGUCAGGUUUUUGAGUUAAUAAAUAUUUUGAACUGCACCUUCCUUGUGUAUUGUCUGCAUUUGGGUCCACGCCUCUACUACCUGCAGCUGCACUCAGCCUUAUCCCAUGACAGAGUCAAUUCAGCUGCGAGCUUGACACUGCAGCUGAUUACCCUGUACAGGUGGAUGGCCUCACUGACAGGCACAGUGGAGAGCCUAAGGAUUCAUGAGCUCCAGAGCAAGUCACUACAGCUGCACGUCAGGCCCGGCAAGCGAAGACCCUGUUGAACAAAGACAAAGGGGGUCUCUCUGCGGGAGUCCAGAAGUUACAUCGCAUUCUGCUGAUCAUAGCAAUGUGUCUUACCACCAUCACUGUCAGGACAUCUGACUGGAGAAGUCUUGGACCACAUAGGACCCUCUGCACGACAUUCCAACCCAUCCAAUCUACUCUACACAAAGCUCUCUACCAACUCAGACCAUGAAGUGAUGUGGGGACUCUGGAGCUGCCAGUCGGCAGUCAAAAAGGCAGGCACUAUUUCAUCCUAUGCCUUCCUCCAGACUCUCUGCU
Molecule: long non-coding RNA, 647 nt
Organism: Micropterus dolomieu (smallmouth bass)
Lineage: Eukaryota; Metazoa; Chordata; Actinopteri; Centrarchiformes; Centrarchidae
Exons: 3
Source: RefSeq, a predicted model, not a curated record